AACAAAAACCUGAUUUACUUACUUACAUUAGUCUAGGGCUCUAGACAGCAAUGCAGUUGAAGAGAGGUCUGACCUUGUGAAGACACAGUCAAGGGUUAGUGGAAGGAACACUGGAGCCGGAGAGAGAUGUGAUCUCAUAAUGGCUGUGUAAGUUGGCUAUGUGACCUGGAACUAUUUCUUGGGGCCUGGGUCUUCAUUUUGCAAAUCAUAAUCCCUGCCUCCUAUGCUGUGUGUCUGGUGAGGUGAGGGGAAGCUGACCCUUAAACAACACUGGUUCGAACUGCAUGAGUCCACUUAUAUGUAGAUUUUCUUCAAUCUCUGCAACCCAAGACAGCAAACCCUCCACUUCCUCCUCACCUUAUUCAAUGUGAAGAUGACCAGGAUGAAGAUGUUUAUGAUGAUCUACUUCCAUUCAAUACAUAGAAAAGAAGCUACCUCUAAUGCAUGUUUCAUGGACCUCCUACCAGAAAACAACAGUGCUCUCCAGUUCAAGAUACAAGGCUUUAGAGUAAUGUCACAUUCAGGGAUUUUUAAUUCAUAGAUACCCUAUCUAAAGUUACAACAGAGUAUUACUGACUUGGCUGCAUCUUUAAAAAACUAUUUAGAAAUACUUAUAUUGAAACUUACAUCCUUAAUUUUUGAUAAAGGCUUUUGUGACAGA
Non-coding RNA from Macaca mulatta (Rhesus monkey), 661 nucleotides. Lineage: Eukaryota; Metazoa; Chordata; Mammalia; Primates; Cercopithecidae. The record is from RefSeq and is a predicted model, not a curated record.